RNAcentral lists this long non-coding RNA (321 nucleotides) under Elaeis guineensis (African oil palm). Its description in RNAcentral is "long non-coding RNA (EGUI_LNC019633)". Lineage: Eukaryota; Viridiplantae; Streptophyta; Magnoliopsida; Arecales; Arecaceae. The record is from RNAcentral.
UGGCCAACCUCUCAAGCUUUUGGGUUUGCAUUGUGCAUUUUGUCCAUAUACAUACACUAGCUUAGAACCAGUGCAAUGCAUGACAUAUAAUUAUUUUUUCAAAUAAUAUUUUUAUAAAUUAAAAAUCUAACAUAAUAUAAAAAUAUCAUAGAUGAUAUUAGAUAUUUUAAAUAAAAAUAUAAACUCAGAUUAUUUAAAUAACAUGAUAGUAAAAAGUAACAUAAUCUUUUCUAUCUUUUGUUGAUAGAGAAAUCAUUCUUUGAAUCAACAUUUUCAGCAUCAAUUGUUUCGAAAUCCUCAUCAUUAAACAAGAUACGAUCA